AACGCGAAGAACCUUACCAAGGCUUGACAUCUGAAGAAUCUUUCGGAAACGAGAGAGUGCUCGCAAGAGAACUUCAAGACAGGUGGUGCAUGGCUGUCGUCAGCUCGUGUCGUGAGAUGUUGGGUUAAGUCCCGCAACGAGCGCAACCCCCGUUGUUAGUUGCCAUCAGGUAAAGCUGGGCACUCUAGCGAGACUGCCGGUGACAAACCGGAGGAAGGUGGGGACGAGGUCAAGUCAUCAUGCCCCUUACGCCUUGGGCUACACACGUGUUACAAUGGCUAGGAUAAUGCGAUGCAAUCCCGCAAGGGUGAGCGAACCGCCAAAACCUAGUCUCAGUUCGGAUCGCAGGCUGCAACUCGCCUGCGUGAAGUCGGAAUCGCUAGUAACCGCCAAUCAGCUCGUGGCGGUGAAUACGUUCCCGGGCCUUGUACACACCGCUAGUC
This 443-nucleotide ribosomal RNA is filed under the name uncultured bacterium. RNAcentral's name for it is "bacterial SSU rRNA". It matches the Rfam family "Bacterial small subunit ribosomal RNA", at positions 958 to 1398 of the family's 1533-position model. The record is from RNAcentral.